RNAcentral lists this small nuclear RNA (304 nucleotides) under Myotis lucifugus (little brown bat). Its description in RNAcentral is "7SK RNA". It matches the Rfam family "7SK RNA". Rfam says of the family: 7SK was discovered as an abundant small nuclear RNA in the mid-70s but a possible function has only recently been suggested. Two independent studies have found that 7SK RNA binds the CDK9/cyclin T complex (known as elongation factor P-TEFb). Lineage: Eukaryota; Metazoa; Chordata; Mammalia; Chiroptera; Vespertilionidae. The record is from Rfam by way of RNAcentral.
GGAUGUGAGGGCGAUCUGGCUGCGACAUCUGUCACCCCAUUGAUCGCCAGGGUUGAUUCGGCUGAUCUGGCUGGCUAGGCGGGUGUCCCCCGCCUCCCUCACCGAUCCAUGUGCGUCCCUCCCAAAGCUGCGCGCUCGGUCGGUCGAAGAGGACGACCUUCCCCCCAGAGGAGAGGACCAGUCUUGGGUCAAGGGUAUACGAGUAGCUGCGCUCCCCUGCUAGAACCUCCAAAGAAGCUCUCAAGGUCCAUUUGUAGGAGAACGUAGGGUAGUCAAGCUUCCAAGACUCCAGACCAGGGGUCCU